Molecule: small nucleolar RNA, 127 nt
Organism: Sorex araneus (European shrew)
Lineage: Eukaryota; Metazoa; Chordata; Mammalia; Eulipotyphla; Soricidae
Product: small nucleolar RNA SNORA77
Exons: 1
Source: RefSeq, a predicted model, not a curated record
GCAGACUCACUCUGCACCCUACUGCAACCUCAAGUUCGGGUGCUAUUUCCUUCUGCCACAGAAACAUUCCAGGGGCUGGGACCACUUUGACUUGUCAAAGUGGACAGAGCUGCUUGGGGACACAGGG